Molecule: ribosomal RNA, 253 nt
Filed under: uncultured bacterium
Lineage: Bacteria
Description: partial 16S ribosomal RNA
Rfam family: Bacterial small subunit ribosomal RNA
Source: RNAcentral
UACAGAGGUCCCAAGCGUUGUUCGGAUUCACUGGGCGUAAAGGGUGCGUAGGUGGUGGGGUAAGUUUGAGGUGAAAGCUCCGGGCUCAACCCGGAAAUAGCCUUGAAGACUAUCCUGCUCGAGGGUUGGAGGGGGGACUGGAAUUCUCGGUGUAGCAGUGAAAUGCGUAGAUAUCGAGAGGAACACCAGUGGCGAAGGCGAGUCCCUGGACAACACCUGACACUGAGGCACGAAAGCUAGGGGAGCAAACGGG